UUUUUUUUUUUUGUGAAAUUGAUUGUCACAAAGGAAAAAAGAAAAGAGUCGUUGAAAGUUGAGAGAAUUGCAUAAAACGAAAUUAUUAGUACAAAUUACUGAAAAUUUGUGUGUUCGUUCAAUGGAGUUUUUACUUUGAAGUUUUGAAUGUGUGUUUGUAAGAGGGGUUGAUUGAUGAAGAGAGAAGUAUUAUGUAUUCAUGCUCAAAUAUUUAUGCCUUUUCCGGAUCUUGAGAAUCCAAAAUUUCCAAGGCGUGAAGAUUAUUGUUAGGGAAACUGCAAUAUUUUUCUGAGUUAAGUCCUUGCUUGGCACUUGGAAGGUUGUGAAGGAGAAUGACAAAGAAUUAAGUUUCUUAUUGCCCUUCUCACGAGGCAACCAAUGGUGCAGCCAUGGCAGUUUUCACUCUGCUCUUUGAUUAAGCAGAGAAAAUCUGAGUCUUUUCCAUACCUCAAUUUAACUUUUGUUUGAACACUGAAGUUGUAUAUUGGAGAAGCUUUCUGGGAAUAAAUUUGAACUGAAGUUAUUGGUUUCAGUCUUAAAACUGCUUUGAUUUUUGAACUUUUUCUGCAAUAGUUGGGUUUUCAUACAAAAGGUAACAAAAAUGCCAUAAUCUAGCGUCUUAAUAUUUUCAUGUCUCCUAUAAUUUGUUCUGAAUUUUUGUAAUUUGUCCCACCCCCAUAGCAUAUGUAUUGUCCUCUAAUCAACUUAAAAGUAUUUGAAAUUUGAAAGUAAUUUUUAUUUGUCUGUGUGGUAUAAAAGCUUUAAUAUGUUUAGUAAUUUGACUAUUUUUUUUUUGUAAAAGUUACAAAUCAGUAUUUAGAAGCUUCCUCCGUCCUUGUGCUCCUCUUUCUAUUCUACACUAAAAUAAUGAGAUUACAUGGAUAAACUUAUGAAUCAUCAUACAACAUGUUUAAGCGCACAUUUGAUUGUAUGAGUUAGAAAGAUAGUCAUUCCAUGUGCUCACAUAGUCAAAGUUCAAAAUUUCUGCCAUGUAGAUAACUAAUUUCUAUAAGAAGUUAAGCUUUGAAUAUUCUAACGUUGAGCCAUUUUAUUUCUCUCUUGGACCUCGCCAUCUUGCCUUCUGUCUUGAUGAUAGACUAUUUCCCUUGACUAUGUCUGUUUCUUCGUUUUCUUUCCGUUUUAUCUAGAUGAGAUAACAUAGUUUAAAGAUUUAUCAUUUGCUAAUUGAUGCAACAGACAAUACUCUCAGAUUGUAGUAAGUGUUUAUUGGACUAUUUAAUGUUCCAUAUAUAAGUUCAUAUUGACAAAGAAAAGUUUGGUUUCCUUAAAGCAUUAUUUUCUAUGUUUUAGUCUUUUGAAGCAGUAAUUUUAUUUUGGAGGAGAGCGGAUGUUGUUGACCCAAGCCAAUGUUUCUUGGGAUUUUUAUCCAGAAGUAAGCUUCUAAAAAAGUAGGAUAGACUAUGCUUUUUUAGAGAAACAUUUAUGUCCAGUUCUAAUUAAGAUUCCUCAUAAAAACUUUCAUUUUCUAUAUAGAGUAUGAACUGCAUUUCCACCAAUGAAAACCAUGAUUUUAUGUUAAAUUGGUUGCUUUGGUUUUACCAACAAACUCUUCAUCACAAUGUUGUAUUUAAGUGAAUAAGUUGCCGAAGCUACACAAAAAUUUGAAAAAUGAUUCCGAAAUUGCUUUUAUGGUAUUGAAAGUAUUUUCUAGAGUAAAUCAUUGUUUAAAAUUUCUUUUAAGACUUUUCCUAAUAGUGUCCUUCUGGACUAUUUUAAAUUCAGGUUACCUCUAUCAACCUAUUGAGUAGUAAUUGAGUUAUUCUUCAACUUUGAAGGGUAGUAACAUCACGCUUCUGCUGGUGGUAACAUUGUCGCUACCUGUAAUUCUCUAAAGCAAGGUAUGGUGUAUUAUCUUGGUUGUUGUACUUCACAGUAAAUUUGAUAUUAUGGAGGACUGUAGUAUCGAAUAUUUAGCAUUUUCACACCGAUUGAAAUGUCUUAUUUAAGCAUUGUUUUUUUUUGGAUCAUCUCUUUGGAAUCUAGACUUAUUAUUUAGGAGAACACAUGGUCUACUUUAAUUACACGCCUUCUUUUUCUUUGUGAGUUACAAAUAUCCAGUCUGGUCCAGAUUUAGUUUCAACGGCCAAAAGACAUUGUUCGGAAGUUGGUAUCAGGUGAUUUAGACCUUGGCAUCAUUGGUGUCGACACAAUCAGUGAAUAUUGACAAGUAGGAACCGAAUGUUUCAGCUUAUUUGUCCAUAUGAAGCAUAAAAAAGAGCCAAUUAUGAUCCAAACUUAAACUAAUUCUAUUAGUUGCUAACGUAUUUCUGUGGCAGGGGAAUGAAGAUCUCAUCAUUGUCCAUGAUUCCCCUGACUAUGGCCAUUAUCGUCUAUCUGUAGCUGUAAGUCGUUGUGCUUUGCGGUAUUAUUUACGCUUUUUAAAUGCCGGUGAUAAUUAUAUAACUGGAUUGUCAUUGAAUUUAUGGUUCUAUAUAACAACAGCAUGUCACAUUACGACUGAACUAAUUGUACAUUAUUCUCUACACUUUUUAAAUGCCGGUGAUAAUUAUAUAACUGGAUUGUUAUUGGAUUUAUAGUUCUAUAAUUGGGAACUUACCAACAACUUGUCACAUGACGACUGAACUAAUUGUACAUCAUUCUCUGUCCAUCUAAAAUACCUAUUCAUGCUGGUGCGGUACAUCUUUCUUUGCCAUAUCUUAUUAUAUGAUCCAAAGAUGAAUUUUUCCAUAAUUAGGUUAUAUUAUUUCUCGAGAAAAGCUGAAAUUCAAUGAAAGAGCUAACAUCUUCACCAUUUCAGAUCCUAUUUUUCGCUUGGGGCUAAGUUACAUAUUUACAAUGGCUGAAAAUCUGCCUUAAGAAUCAUUUAAAUGAUGAUUGAAUGUUCUCUCAUGUUUGAAGUGGUUCUCAAUUAAGGAUCUUUGCAAGUGAAAGGUCUUAACAACAAUUUGUUGUUGUAUCUUAUAACUAUUCAUAUGCAAAGUGUAUACAAUUAUUAGAAUUUUAUAAAUGGAAAGGCAAUGUUAAAAUGGAGUUUCUUUGGAUAAAUGUUUUCUUUCUAUUUCUCUUUCUUUUGAGUUGUUUAUUUUGCUGUCAACAAAUUAGUUAUUGUACACUUAUGCUACCAAAUAAAAGUUUAAUCUCUUUGUUGUCUUCUUGCCCAACAGGAAUAAAAUAAAAAAAUAAAGAGAUUGUACUGGAACAUACAGAAAAUAUAUCAGAAUAUUACCUGAUGAUUUUUGUUAUGCACAUGUGCUACCUUCUAUUUCCGCCAAUUCGGAUGAUUUGUAUUACGGAUAUGUGCUAAGACUUAUUCUACUUUUGCAUUUCUCAUAGCAGCUUGUUGUCUCGGAAAUUUGACCUCAAUACACGUGUACUGAUUGGUAGUGAUGUCAAAACUUAUGUUUAUUUUUGCAGUUGUUUGUAUAACCUUUAUAGCUUGUUCUUUUAACACCUUAAAGCAUGUUAUUGUUUUACCUGUUAUUAUUCAUCAUGUUUAUGUUGUCUCUUUUUCUUGCGAAUUUAUUGAUAUAUUUUUCCCCGUUUGACUUGUUGAGCAGAGAGUAGAAAAUAAGCAGAAAUAGAGAAGAAAAGAACUUAAAGCUGUCAACUUUGUUUUUAAUAUUACUUGACUUAAGGAGAUAACAACAUAUGUCCACAUGUAUAUAGGCUUAGACAAACAAAACAGACCUAAUAUCUAGGACCUGUAACCCACUACCACUUUAUUAGCAAAGCUAAUUUGACUUGAGUAAAUAAAGAAAACUACUUAACACACUACUGCACUUUAUUAGCAAAGCUAACUUGACUUGAGUAAAUAAAGGAAAUUACUUAACAGAAACCAAAAGACAAACCAACUAAAUUGGUUUGAUUUCUUUUGUGAGAAAAGAUUUCUUUUGUGAGAAAAACCAAUUCAAAUCGAACAAAAAAUACCCCUACAAAAAUGAGAAUGUUACAAAAGUUUGAUCGACGAAAAAGAACAAUGACACUAAAAUUAAACAGCAGGUGACUUCGACAAACUCAGGUAUUAAUCCUUCAUAUGGCUAGCAGUAUCUGCAAUCCUGCUUCUCUUGAAGUACCUGUAGGCCCAAGAAAUAGCAGCAAAUGUUGACGCCCCAAAUCCAAAGACGGAUAAAAAUCCAGAAACGGCGAUGAAGAGAAGAGUCCCAAUAGGGAACCAAAUGGGGCUAGAGACGAGGAUCAAAGGCGUGAAGAAAAUGAGGGUAAUAUAGUUUCAUAUAGUGUAUAAGAAUAUAAAAAUCCCAUAAAAUUACCGAAGCGUAAGAAUGGUGCAUGCUCUAUCCAAGCAUGAUGUAACAAUGACUUCUGCAGCAUCGGUAAUUUACAGCUUCAUAAGCUCGAUUUUUUUUUUUAUCAUUUUCCAGGAAUAUAAUGAGAUAGAUUAAAAGAAAAGAAAAAGAAAAAACAAUUUACCAUACAAAUUGUUAAUUAAGCUGGAAAUUAAUGGUAAAAAACCAGUUUAAUAGUAUUACCAAUAUCACCACCUAGAAUUUAACAAAGAUGCAGCUAAUGUCCACUCGAUAUAUUUCCAAAGAAUGAACAAUUUUGUGAACGAAAUCCAAAAUUAGUUUACCCCAAUAUAUACUACAUGUCCCUGCCGCCAUUCUAAUACAACUUCACCCUAAUUAAUGACCAAACAUGCUGAUAUCUCCUUUUAUUAAGGAAAAAUAUCUUGAUAAUGAGAGUGAAAAAAAUAAAUUAAUUUCAACAAAGAACUGGUACGUACAUAACCUGUAAACAUAUCCAGUCUAUUAGCCACUAAGAGUUCAAUUGAACGGUUUAUUGCUUGACUUGAACUAUAUAUAUUGUAACAAUUAAAAAGAAUGAGAUUAUCAUCCUUCUGAAUCCAUUGAAUCUAAAUCUUGGAUUCGCCUAUUUUAUUUAACUAGUUGACGUUGCAGAUCCUCGAAACUCCAAUCCCUUCUCAUCCCAGGGCUCCUUACUAACCUGG
RNAcentral lists this long non-coding RNA (4948 nucleotides) under Nicotiana tabacum (common tobacco). RNAcentral describes it as "long non-coding RNA (NTAB_LNC001629)". Lineage: Eukaryota; Viridiplantae; Streptophyta; Magnoliopsida; Solanales; Solanaceae. The record is from RNAcentral.